This 836-nucleotide ribosomal RNA is filed under the name uncultured bacterium. RNAcentral describes it as "bacterial SSU rRNA". It matches the Rfam family "Bacterial small subunit ribosomal RNA", at positions 98 to 933 of the family's 1533-position model. The record is from RNAcentral.
GCGGACGGGUGCGUAACGCGUACAGAACGUGCCUUUGGGCGGGGGAUAGCGUUGGGAAACUGACGGUAAUACCCCAUGGCAUCGGGAACCGGCAUCGGUUUUCGAUUAAAGUUACGGCGCCCAAAGAUCGCUGUGCGUCCGAUUAGCUAGUUGGCGGGGUAACGGCCCACCAAGGCGACGAUCGGUAGGGGGUGUGAGAGCAUGGCCCCCCACACGGGUACUGAGACACGGACCCGGCUCCUACGGGAGGCAGCAGUAAGGAAUAUCGGACAAUGGAGGGAACUCUGAUCCAGCCAUGCCGCGUGAAGGACGAAGGCGCUCAGCGUUGUAAACUUCUUUUGAAUGGGAACAAAACACCGGACUUGUCCGGGACUGAGGGUACCAUUAGAAUAAGCACCGGCUAACUCCGUGCCAGCAGCCGCGGUAAUACGGAGGGUGCGAGCGUUAUCCGGAAUCACUGGGUUUAAAGGGUGCGUAGGCGGCCAGAUAAGUCAGUCGUGAAAUCGCUGGGCUCAACCCAUGCAAUUGCGAUUGAUACUGUUUGGCUUGAAUUGGGUUCAGGCAGGCGGAAUGUGGCAUGUAGCGGUGAAAUGCUUAGAUAUGCCAUAGAACACCGAUUGCGAAGGCAGCUUGCUGGGCCCAUAUUGACGCUGAGGCACGAAAGCGUGGGGAGCAAACAGGAUUAGAUACCCUGGUAGUCCACGCCCUAAACGAUGUUUACUUGCUGUUUGGGCUAUAUGCUUGAGUGGCGAAGCGAAAGCGAUAAGUAAACCACCUGGGGAGUACGCCGGCAACGGUGAAACUCAAAGGAAUUGACGGGGGUCCGCACAAGCGGU